GAUGCAGAUGCUCCGUUGGUGAACACGCUUGAGUCGUUGGAGGCUCGGGGGGUGGCUGCUCUCAGGGACCCUCGGUGUGUCCCCGGCCGGGUAUUGCCUCCCGUGUACUGCGUCGGGCCAUUUGUCGGUAGCAUCGCCGCCGCCGAGGCGAAAGAGCGUCACGAGUGCCUCGCUUGGCUAGACGGCCAACCGGACCGCAGCGUCGUGUUCCUCUGCUUCGGGAGCAUCGGCAUAGGAAACCACUCCGAGGAGCAGCUCAGGGAGAUCGCCGUGGGGCUUGAAAAGUCCGGCCACCGCUUCCUGUGGGUUGUGCGAGCCCCAGUCAGCGAUGACGACCCGGAGAAGCCGUUGGACCCCCGUGCCGACCCGGACUUCGACGCUCUACUGCCGGACGGGUUCAUGGAGCGCACCAAUGGCCGUGGCCUCGUCGUCAAGCUGUGGGCACCGCAGGCGGACGUUCUCCGCCACAAGGCCACCGGGGCGUUCGUGACGCACUGCGGAUGGAACUCAGUGCUGGAGGGCGUCACGGCGGGCGUGCCGAUGCUGUGCUGGCCGCUGUACGCGGAGCAGAAGAUGAACAAGCUGUUCAUGGUGGGGGACAUGGGGGUCGCCGUAGAGAUUGUCGGGUGGCAGCAGGGGCUGGUCAAGGCCGGCGAGGUGGAGGGCAAGGUAAGGCUUGUCAUGGAGUCUGAGGAGGGCAGAGAGCUCAGGGUGCGGGUCGAGGCGCACAAGGAAGACGCCGCGGCAGCUUGGAACGACGGCGGGUCGUCACGCGUGGCGUUUGCCCAGUUUUUGGCGGACGUGGCCAGCCAACAGGAUCGGACUUGCACCCGGAAGGAAUCCGUGGGACUCGGUGAUGCGUGA
Molecule: ribosomal RNA, 864 nt
Filed under: Triticum aestivum (bread wheat)
Lineage: Eukaryota; Viridiplantae; Streptophyta; Magnoliopsida; Poales; Poaceae
Description: partial small subunit ribosomal RNA
Source: RNAcentral